CCUACGGGUGGCAGCAGUGGGGGAUAUUGCACAAUGGGGGAAACCCUGAUGCAGCGAUGCCGCGUGAAUGAAGACGGCCUUCGGGUUGGAAAGUUCUGUUGAUGGGGAAGAAAAUGACGGUACCCAGCAAGUAACGUCCGGGUAACAUCGGGCCAGAUGCCGCGGUAACACGUAGGGAGCAAGCGUGGGCCGGAAUGACGGGGUGAAAGGGGGGCGUAGGGGGGGGGAGAGGUGGAUUGUAAAGUCUAUGGGCUCCACCCAUAGCUGCGUUCGAAACUGUGCUUCUUGAGUGCAGUAGAGGCAGGCGGAAUUCCUAGUGUAGCGGUGAAAUGCGUAGAUCUUAGGAGGAACACCAGUGGCGAAGGCGGCCUGCUGGGCUGUAACUGACGCUGAGGCUCGAAAGCGUGGGUAGCAAACAGGAUUAGAUACCCGAGUAGUC
This 439-nucleotide ribosomal RNA is filed under the name uncultured bacterium. RNAcentral describes it as "partial 16S ribosomal RNA". It matches the Rfam family "Bacterial small subunit ribosomal RNA", at positions 338 to 795 of the family's 1533-position model. The record is from RNAcentral.